This is an RNA transcript of Arachis stenosperma, 3776 nucleotides long. It is a transcript of the gene named protein SUPPRESSOR OF QUENCHING 1, chloroplastic, with no coding region annotated. NCBI's taxonomy places the organism in Eukaryota, Viridiplantae, Streptophyta, Magnoliopsida, Fabales, Fabaceae. The transcript is spliced from 30 exons. The record is from RefSeq and is a predicted model, not a curated record.
AAUUCCGUUACCUGACACUCGCAAUUUCCCAACACUGCACCACACCAUCCGAUCACCCACUCUUUAUUGCAUGACAUUCCCAACAAACUCUUCCCGCCGUAACUGAAUUCAGUUGCGAUGGCAUUAUUCGAAACAGCUGCCUACUCUCUAUCUCGCACACCAACCGCCACAACCAACGUCGUCUUCUCCAACUCUACUAUCAGACCACUCACACCUUCUUCUUCUUCCUUCUAUUCUCGAGUCCUCCGUUGCCGAUCGAAUUCCAACUGCCUUCUUUUGACUCCGCGGUUUACUUUUGCUGUGAAAGCUUGCGUCAAGGUCGAAGAGAAGGAUGUUGCCGCGACUAGUGGAGCUGAAGGAGGAGAGUGGGGAAAGGUCUCUGCGGUGUUGUUUGACAUGGACGGUGUGCUCUGCAACAGCGAGGAACCUUCUAGAAGAGCCGCUGUUGAUGUCUUCGCCGAGAUGGGCGUCCAAGUCACCGUCGAUGACUUCGUCCCAUUCAUGGGAACAGGAGAAGCAAACUUUCUGGGAGGUGUUGCCUCUGUUAAGGGAGUUAAAGGAUUUGAUACCGAAGCUGCAAAAAAGAGAUUCUUUGAAAUAUAUUUGGAUAAGUAUGCCAAACCAGAUUCCGGAAUAGGAUUUCCUGGUGCCAGUGAACUUAUUUCUCAGUGUAAAAGCAAAGGCAUUAAGGUGGCUGUUGCAUCUAGUGCUGAUCGCAUAAAGGUUGAUGCUAAUCUAGCUGCUGCUGGUUUGUCAUUGUCAAUGUUUGAUGCAAUUGUGUCUGCAGAUGCUUUUGAGAAUUUGAAACCUGCUCCUGAUAUUUUCUUAGCUGCAUCAAAAAUAUUGGAUGUGCCUCCCAGUGAGUGUAUAGUUAUAGAAGAUGCACUAGCUGGAGUUCAGGCUGCUAAAACUGCACAAAUGAGAUGCAUAGCUGUUAGAACUACGUUGUCAGAUGAGGCUUUGGAAUCUGUUGGUCCAUCACUCAUCCGAGAUGACAUAGGAAAUAUUUCACUUGAUGACAUUCUCAGUGGAGGCUCUGUUGGAUAUAAUAAGAGGGUUCAGGGAUCUGAAACAUCAAAUGAUUCUGCACAAUCUUCCUCUGCUAUGCUUGCUGUUGAAAAAGAUGAUAGAGCUAGAAAAACUAUCAGUGGUAGUGACAAGGGAAUAUUCCCAACUGAAGGGUUACAGGGUUCUCGGCGCGAUAUAAUGAGAUUCGGGAGUCUUGGUAUUGCUAUCUCUUGCCUUGUUUUCACAAUUAGUAACUGGAAGGCAAUGCAAUAUGCUUCACCCAAAGCAAUAUGGAAUCUGUUGUUUGGAGUCACCCAACCAUCCAUGGAACAGAAAGAAGGUGAUUCAAGAGAUGAUAGGGUCCAGCAAUUUGUGAAUUACAUAACUGAUCUAGAGAGCAGGGGAAACACUCAGAUUGUUCCAGAAUUUCCAUCGAAACUUGAUUGGCUGAAUACAGCUCCACUACAAUUUCGCAGGGAUCUGAAAGGAAAAAUUGUUGUCCUGGAUUUCUGGACUUAUUGUUGUAUAAACUGUAUGCAUGUCUUACCAGACCUAGAGUUUUUGGAGAAGAAAUACAAAGAUAUGCCGUUCAUUGUUGUGGGUGUUCAUUCUGCGAAGUUCGAUAAUGAGAAAGAUUCUGAAGCCAUUCGUAAUGCAGUUCUACGCUAUGAUAUCACUCAUCCGGUUGUGAAUGAUAGUGACAUGUAUCUUUGGCGCAAGUUAGGCAUAAAUUCAUGGCCAACAUUUGCUGUCGUUGGCCCCAAUGGUAAGCUCCUAGCACAACUUGCUGGAGAAGGUCACAAGAAGGAUCUUGAUGAUUUUGUGGAGGCAGCACUGAUGUUUUAUGGAAAACGUAAUUUGUUGGAUAAUACACCAAUUACGUUGAAUUUGGAGAAAGAUAAUGAUCCUCGGCUUUCAGCAUCUCCAUUGAAGUUCCCUGGAAAGCUAGCAAUUGAUAUCCUCAACAACAGGCUUUUUAUUUCUGACAGCAACCAUAACCGUAUAGUGGUUACUGACCUUGAUGGGAACUUCAUUGUACAAAUUGGUAGCAGUUGGGAGCAAGGUCUGCAGGAUGGUUCAUUUGAUGAUGCCACCUUUAACCGACCUCAGGGCCUUGCUUAUAAUGCAAAGAAAAAUAUCGUUUAUGUUGCAGAUACUGAAAACCAUGCUUUGAGGGAAAUUGAUUUCAUUAAUGAGAAAGUGCGUACUCUUGCUGGAAAUGGGACCAAGGGCUCUGAUUAUAUUGGAGGAGGAAAAGGAGACACUCAGCUUCUCAAUUCCCCUUGGGAUGUCUGCUUUCAUCCAGUUGAAGAGAAAAUUUAUAUUGCAAUGGCUGGCCAACAUCAGAUUUGGGAGCACAAUAUAUUGGACGGAAUUACGAAAGUCUUUAGUGGCGAUGGUUAUGAAAGAAAUCUAAAUGGAUCAAGUCCUACAAGUUCGUCAUUUGCACAACCUUCUGGUCUUUCAUUCUCUCGAGAUCUAACGGAGAUCUACGUUGCUGAUAGUGAGAGUAGUUCUAUCCGAGUUGUUGAUCUGAAAACAGGAGGAUCUCGUCUGAUAGCUGGUGGUGACCCAAUCUUCCCAGAUAAUUUGUUUAAGUUUGGUGAUCAAGAUGGAAUAGGCUCUGAAGUACUCCUUCAACAUCCACUGGGGGUUACAUGUGCAAAAGAUGGUGAAGUUUAUAUUGCCGAUAGCUACAAUCACAAGAUCAAGAAGUAUGAUCCAACUAGUAAAAGAGUUAGCAGCAUUGCAGGAACAGGAAAAGCUGGUUUCAGGGAUGGAACAGCUUUGACGUCUCAGCUAUCUGAACCAGCGGGAAUUGCUGAAGGGAAUGGGCGAUUAUUUAUUGCAGAUACAAAUAACAGCUUAAUCCGAUAUCUGGAUUUGAUAAGUGAUGAAUUUUUGCUUCAUACUUUAGAGCUUAAAGGAUUUCAGCCUCCUAAACCGAAAUCAAGAUCUUUGAAACGCCUCAGAAGACGACCAUCAGCCGACACAAUGACUAUUAUGAUUGAUCCUAUUUCAUCAAAUGAGGGAAACUUGUAUAUUGAUAUUGCAUUACCAAAUGAGUAUCAUUUCUCAAAGGAAGCACGCAGUAGAUUUAGUGCUGAUACCGAACCUGCGGAUGCUGUAAACAUUGAUCCUUUGGACGGAUUCCUUAGUUCAGAAGGAUCAGCAACGCUUCGCUUUAAGAGGUUAUCUAACUCGGCUUCCAUGGGUAGAAUUAAUUGCAAGGUUUACUAUUGCAAGGAAGAUGAAGUAUGUUUGUACCAAUCUUUGCUGUUUGAGAUUCCCUUCCGAGAGGGAGUUCCUACCGCUAACAAGGCAGACGUCACUCUUGCUCAUCUUGUGAAGCCCAAAACUCCCAACAACUUCUUACUGCCCUCGGUUGCCCCGUGACUCCUUAAUCCAGUAAUUGGACGUGAGGUAUAUUGUUUAUUCGUAGUUGAAGCAAAGCAGAUCAGGUCCCCUACGUUGCUAGCGAAGCAAAUUAUUAGUGUAUGGAAUUUGGCCAUUUGAUGUAAACCUUCGAGUCACCACAUCCAUUGUUGAUGAACAUGAAGAUGACGAUUGUGAAUUCAUUGGAGAGAAUGAGAUGCCAACACAUGAUGAUUGUUGGGAUGAGAGCCAAGAUGCUUAUGCAUGGGAGAUAAACUGAUGCUAUUAUAAUUUCUUGAAUCAAUUUUCUUUCGUUUUAGUUUAUAAUUAUUUUAAAGUGGUGCUCCGUAUAUUUUUUUUUUCUCCUUCCAAAACAUUGGGUGUUUAGAUUG